This 389-nucleotide ribosomal RNA is filed under the name uncultured bacterium. Its description in RNAcentral is "bacterial SSU rRNA". It matches the Rfam family "Bacterial small subunit ribosomal RNA", at positions 28 to 417 of the family's 1533-position model. The record is from RNAcentral.
AUUGAACGCUGGCGGCAUGCUUUACACAUGCAAGUCGAGCGGCAGCGCGGGGGGCAACCCUGGCGGCGAGCGGCGAACGGGUGAGGAAUACAUCGGAACGUACCCGAGAGUGGGGGGAUAACGCCGCGAAAGCGGCGCUAAUACCGCAUAUUCUCCGAGGAGGAAAGUGGGGGACCGCAAGGCCUCACGCUCACGGAGCGGCCGAUGUCGGAUUAGCUAGUUGGUGGGGUAAAGGCCCACCAAGGCGACGAUCCGUGGCUGGUCUGAGAGGAUGAUCAGCCACACUGGGACUGAGACACGGCCCAGACUCCUACGGGAGGCAGCAGUGGGGAAUUUUGGACAAUGGGGGCAACCCUGAUCCAGCCAUGCCGCGUGCGGGAAGAAGGCCU